CCUACGGGGGGCUGCAGUGGGGAAUAUUGGACAAUGGGCGAAAGCCUGAUCCAGCCAUGCCGCGUGUGUGAAGAAGGCCUUCGGGUUGUAAAGCACUUUCAGUGGGGAAGAAAGCCUUGGGGCUAAUACCCUCGAGGAAGGACAUCACCCACAGAAGAAGCACCGGCUAACUCCGUGCCAGCAGCCGCGGUAAUACGGAGGGUGCGAGCGUUAAUCGGAAUUACUGGGCGUAAAGCGCGCGUAGGCGGUCUGAUAAGCCGGUUGUGAAAGCCCCGGGCUCAACCUGGGAACGGCAUCCGGAACUGUCAGGCUAGAGUGCAGGAGAGGAAGGUAGAAUUCCCGGUGGAGCGGUGAAAUGCGUAGAGAUCGGGAGGAAUACCAGUGGCGAAGGCGGCCUUCUGGACUGACACUGACGCUGAGGUGCGAAAGCGUGGGUAGCAAACAGGAUUAGAUACCCGGGUAGUC
RNAcentral lists this ribosomal RNA (465 nucleotides) under Vreelandella stevensii. RNAcentral describes it as "partial 16S ribosomal RNA". It matches the Rfam family "Bacterial small subunit ribosomal RNA", at positions 338 to 795 of the family's 1533-position model. The record is from RNAcentral. Lineage: Bacteria; Pseudomonadati; Pseudomonadota; Gammaproteobacteria; Oceanospirillales; Halomonadaceae.